UACGUAUGGAGCAAGCGUUAUCCGGAUUUACUGGGUGUAAAGGGAGCGCAGGCGGUCUGGCAAGUCUGAUGUGAAAGGCCGGGGCUCAACCCCUUCCCGCCAUUGAAACUGGCGAUCUUGAGUGGAAGAGAAGUAUGCGGAAUGCGUGGUGUAGCGGUGAAAUGCAUAGAUAUCACGCAGAACCCCGAUCGCGAAGGCAGCAUGCCGGCUUCCGACUGACGCUGAAGCACGAAAGCGUGGGGAUCGAACAGG
RNAcentral lists this ribosomal RNA (252 nucleotides) under uncultured bacterium. RNAcentral describes it as "partial 16S ribosomal RNA". It matches the Rfam family "Bacterial small subunit ribosomal RNA", at positions 524 to 776 of the family's 1533-position model. The record is from RNAcentral.